GACGAACGCUGGCGGCGUGCCUAAUACAUGCAAGUAGAACGCACAGUUUAUACCGUAGCUUGCUACACCAUAAACUGUGAGUUGCGAACGGGUGAGUAACGCGUAGGUAACCUGCCUGGUAGCGGGGGAUAACUAUUGGAAACGAUAGCUAAUACCGCAUAAUAUUAAUUAUUGCAUGAUAAUUGAUUGAAAGAUGCAAUUGCAUCACUACCAGAUGGACCUGCGUUGUAUUAGCUAGUAGGUGAGGUAACGGCUCACCUAGGCGACGAUACAUAGCCGACCUGGAAGGGUGAUCGGCCACACUGGGACUGAGACACGGCCCAGACUCCUACGGGAGGCAGCAGUAAGGAAUCUUCAGCAAUGGACGAAAGUCUGACCGGGCAACGCCGCGUGAGUGAAGAAGGUUUUCGGAUCGGAAAACUCUGUUGUAAGAGGAGAACGGGGGUGGGAGUGGAAAGUUCACACUGUGACGGUAUCUUACCAGAAAGAGACGGCUAACUACGUG
Molecule: ribosomal RNA, 505 nt
Filed under: uncultured bacterium
Lineage: Bacteria
Description: partial 16S ribosomal RNA
Rfam family: Bacterial small subunit ribosomal RNA
Source: RNAcentral